ACGCUCGACACCUACUGGAGGCAGCAGUGGGGAAUAUUGCACAAUGGGGGAAACCCUGAUGCAGCAACGCCGCGUGAGUGAAGAAGUAUUUCGGUAUGUAAAGCUCUAUCAGCAGGGAAGAUAAUGACGGUACCUGACUAAGAAGCUCCGGCUAAAUACGUGCCAGCAGCCGCGGUAAUCUGAGCGGGCUGGCAAGGC
Molecule: ribosomal RNA, 198 nt
Filed under: uncultured bacterium
Lineage: Bacteria
Description: partial 16S ribosomal RNA
Rfam family: Bacterial small subunit ribosomal RNA
Source: RNAcentral